Molecule: unclassified non-coding RNA, 2254 nt
Filed under: Hevea brasiliensis (rubber tree)
Lineage: Eukaryota; Viridiplantae; Streptophyta; Magnoliopsida; Malpighiales; Euphorbiaceae
Source: RNAcentral
UUAAAUAUUUUUAUAAUGAAAUUUUUUAAAAAUAUAUUUUAUAUCUAUAUCAAAAAUAUAAUAAGAGUAAUAUUUUGGUGGAGGUUAAAAGAUCUUCUAACUUAAUAAGAAUUUUGGUAUAUUAUUUUUGGGGGGGAUUUAGAUCUCUUUAUUAAUUUGAUAAAAACAGUCUAAAAAUAUAUAUAUUUUAUCCUCAAGCACAUGUAAGAAUAAGUCUUUACAAAUAUUUAAAAUAUAAGAGGCAAAAAGUAUAAUAAUUCAUAAUGACGAUAGCUUUGGAAUAUGAUGAUCCACUCACAAAGUUGAAAGGCCAAGCAUUACAACAAAUUAAAGACAAAUAGAUUAAUUAAGAACAUAAAUUAAUUUGAAAGAUGAAACAGUACAUAUAUCUAUUUAAAGUGAUAAUUAUUAUUUUUAAUUUAUUCUAUUUAAUUCACUCACAUGUAUACCAACUCAAAAUAUUAUAGAAAUUUUUAUUAGUAUUAUUUAAUUAACUAAAUAUUAAAUGACAUCUCAAUUUAGUUAAAAGGUAAAAUGAUAAUUUCAUUUUGCCCUUUGAGCCUUCAUCAUACCUUUAAUAAUAUAUGAUACAUGAUAUGAUAUUGAUAUGACGAUACAAUAUAAGUAAAGUAAAGUGAAAUCUAUUGACCACACUUGACCUUUGAUUAAAUAAAAUUGACAAAAGUACACAUGAAUCGUCUUAGUGUAUGAUAUAAAUACAAAUUUCCAUGUUAUUAUUAUACAAACACCAUAAGUAGAGUCAUAGGUAUUUUAUAAGUAAUGAAAACGAAGAAUGUAAGAAAGAAAAUUAGACAAGUAGAUAAAUGCAGAAAAAAAUAAUAUCUAUCGUGUAUGUUAGGUUAUAAAUGAAAGACAAGUAGAGUAAAUAGAUUAAAGAGUUACAUUGAUUGAAUUUAAAAUGUCGAAAAACAAAAGAAAUCACAGUUACCUCAUGCAAACGUGAAAAGGCAACUGACUGGUAAGAUGUUCCACUUUCAAAAUGAAAAGGCAAUUCGCAAAUAAAAAUGGAUGCACUCUCUGAGACAAUGGUCGUUCUCAGUGAUACUAGACGUUUUGACUAUUACUCUAAUAAUAAUAAGGUCGUGCCUUUUUUUUCUCGAUAAUGUAUUUUUCUUGUCCGAGACUUUUCCUAUACAAUGAAUAAGCAUCAGAAAAAAAAAAGUGUCAUUAACAUUAUGCUGAUGUUAUUAUUUCCUACUUAGACAAACCAAGCUCUAAAGGACUUGUUGUGAUGUUGUAGAAUUUUCAUCAGAAUCACACAUGAUGUUACUAUUCGAAAAGUUAGCUUAUUGGCAUAUAUACUAUUAUUAUUUUACAAAUAACUCUGGCUUUCCUUCCUUGUUCUCAUUAGGAAAGUCUAGUGUUCCGCCUAGAAUGGCCAUCCGCAACUUCGAGGAGCAUAAUUUAGUGAAAAAAUAAUUCUAGUAUCUCAAAAAGAAGUGUUUAUAUUAUUUUCUAAUAUUCAUUAUCUAAUAUCUUUGUUAAUGAUUCUUUAUUACAUGACUAAUAUUUCAGUGUUGCUAUAAAUAGUUAAUAACUUUCGUAUAAUCAUUCUUUAUGAACAACCGUUAAUGAGUUAUUAUUGCUCAUUAUCACAAUUUAUUUAUUUUCAUUAAAUCUGUUACAAUUUCAUUUAAUCGUAUGGAUGUUUCUUUCCAUUCUAUACGUUACGUAAUGUCCCAUUUAGUGUAUCAAUUAAUGAGCUUCUAAUAUAUUUUCUUGAUAUUGUAAAUGAGUGAUUUCUUCAUCCAUAAAAGGGUAUGCUUCACCCUUGUGAAAGAAAACAAUUGAAGAGAUUAAAAUAAGGCUUUCAACUUUAUACUUCCCAAUCAUACUUUGUCUUCCUUUCUUGGUUAAGUAUUCUUGCAUUUCUUUCUUGUUUUACUAACACGUUAUCAACACGAGUCUCUAACCAACUGAGACCUACUUAAUUCAAAAUUAAUUCCUAAAAGUUAAUCAACUUACUUUUAAAGUCAGGUAUACAUUUAUUUGUUUAUAACAUCUCUAAUAGGACUUGCAUAAAUUUUAUCUCUAAUUUAAUUACUGCGUAUAUAACUGGCUUUAGGUAUUAUUAUAAUACUUUACUAGUCAUAAUAAUCAAUAUGUUUCAGAUUUAUAUUUUUAUGUUGCUUAUAUGCUAGUAACUUGUAUUCUGAAUUAAAUAGUAGGAAAUGUGAAAACAUGCUAAUUAGAAGACUUGUAAAUAUUUUCUUGCCAUAAAUUUAUGAUAAGU